CCCGGCCACGUCUACUUUUAGUUUUGUCCAUCUGAUGAGUUAAGCCUUUUUCAACUGAUUUUUAUAGUUCGUUCUUAUGUUGUACUGUUAUACCACUGUCCCAGGUUAGGGGGAGGGUUGGGAUCCCUCUAACAUGUUUAACCCCGCCACAUUAUCUAUGUAUGUGCCUGUCCCAGGUCAGGAGCCUGUAAUUCAGUGGUUGUCGUUUGUUUAUG
Molecule: long non-coding RNA, 215 nt
Filed under: Mytilus galloprovincialis (Mediterranean mussel)
Lineage: Eukaryota; Metazoa; Mollusca; Bivalvia; Mytilida; Mytilidae
Source: RNAcentral